RNAcentral lists this ribosomal RNA (406 nucleotides) under uncultured bacterium. RNAcentral describes it as "partial 16S ribosomal RNA". It matches the Rfam family "Bacterial small subunit ribosomal RNA", at positions 30 to 526 of the family's 1533-position model. The record is from RNAcentral.
AUUGAACGCUGGCGGCAGGCCUAACACAUGCAAGUCGAACGAGUGGCGGACGGGUGAGUAAUGUCUGGGAAACUGCCCGAUGGAGGGGGAUAACUACUGGAAACGGUAGCUAAUACCGCAUACCAUCGGAUGUGCCCAGAUGGGAUUAGCUAGUAGGUGGGGUAACGGCUCACCUAGGCGACGAUCCCUAGCUGGUCUGAGAGGAUGACCAGCCACGCUGGAACUGAGACACGUUCCAGCCUCCUCCGUGAGGCAGCAUUGGGGAAUAUUGCACAAUGGGCGCAAGCCUGAUGCAGCCAUGCCGCGUGUAUGAAGAAGGCCUUCGGGUUGUAAAGUACUUUCAGCGAGUAGGAGUUACUCGCAGAAGAAGCACCGGCUAACUCCGUACCAGCCGCCGCGGUAAUUC